GUUGGCUUGGAGCAGCGUAGUGCACGCCUCCUCCCUGCAUGGAAGCUGUGGAGCAUCUUUCCGUGUCAGACUAUGCACUGGAGAGGAAACAGUGACAUGAGGCCCAGAGCCGCCACUGAGCAAGACAACAGUGAGGUACAAUCUUCUGCGUGACACUGGCCAUCACCAUGGUAACAACCUGAUUGCAGCUGGCUCACUGUUGCCCUGGACCCAGACUGAGAAGCAUCAGAGAAGAGGACAUGGAGGAGAAGGCAGCAUGGAAGGGUCCCUGGGCAAGGGCUUUGUGUAUGAGAAGAAGCAGGCAGAAGACCUGAAUGAACAAGUACCUUCGUGCUGUCUAUGUUUGCGUGUCUAGUCUGCCGAUCUACACACGCGCCUGGAAAGCAGCUCUGGAUGGAUCCCACCCGCCUUACCCUCCCCCUCUUCCCUUUCUCAGCCAGUGGCACUGCUGGCCCACCUCGCUGCUCCACCCAGGGCCCCGGCAUCCACUCCUACCUUGCUGAGCCUGUCACCAUCCCUCUCCCCCAGGUUUCUGCAGCUUCCCGGGCUGCAUUUCUUCCUGUACCUCUGUGUAGCUCCCUUUCAUUUCACCCCAAGACCCUCCCCGAGCUUCUUCAGCCUCUCUUGAGCUUCUCUGGAACAUGGUCUUCAAGCUCCUUCAACGCUCACGACCUUUCUGCCCUUUGGCUCAGAAUGCUCCCUCUGCCCCUUCAUGUGGCUGGCCAUCAUCUUGGAAUCCUCAGCUGACAUGCUACUUCAGAGGGACUUUCUCCAUCAACUGCCCUCUUCCAGGCUGAGUCCCUGGGUUCAUUUCUGACAUAACAGCCCAUUUGUUCUUCAAAACAUUUACUGUAAUAGGCAAUAUGAGAUAUUUUCUUUAUUGUUCAUGAUAAAAAAUUUCUGCCUAGAAUCUUGUACCUACAAGAGCAGGCAUUUUGUCUUGAUUAUUAUUGAUUAUUGGCAUCCAUAGCUGCUGUCUAAAUACUAGUUUAAUAAAUGAGUGACCUCCUGUGAUUGCUGCAAACAUCUGGACCCAGAGUCAACAUAACAUGAAAACAAUCUGCUGGCACAAGACUGGUAUUCAGUGAGUAAUGGGAAAAGAUGGGUGGGCACAGGCAGCAGGGUUACAGCGUGCUCUGUUUUCCUUCCCCUGGGAAGUGGC
Molecule: long non-coding RNA, 1162 nt
Organism: Heterocephalus glaber (naked mole-rat)
Lineage: Eukaryota; Metazoa; Chordata; Mammalia; Rodentia; Bathyergidae
Source: Ensembl